CCUACGGGAGGCAGCAGUGAGGAAUCUUGCGCAAUGGGGGAAACCCUGACGCAGCGACGCCGUGUGAGUGAAGAAGGCCUUCGGGUCGUAAAGCUCUGUCAAGUGGGAAUAAAGUCUCUCGGUGAAUACCUGAGCGAUUUGAAGGUACCACUAAAGGAAGCACCGGCUAACUCCGUGCCAGCAGCCGCGGUAAU
This 194-nucleotide ribosomal RNA is filed under the name uncultured delta proteobacterium. Its description in RNAcentral is "partial 16S ribosomal RNA". It matches the Rfam family "Bacterial small subunit ribosomal RNA", at positions 338 to 524 of the family's 1533-position model. The record is from RNAcentral. Lineage: Bacteria; Deltaproteobacteria.